Molecule: RNA transcript, 2691 nt
Organism: Strigops habroptila (Kakapo)
Lineage: Eukaryota; Metazoa; Chordata; Aves; Psittaciformes; Psittacidae
Gene: NONO
Gene name: non-POU domain containing octamer binding
Exons: 11
Source: RefSeq, a predicted model, not a curated record
CGAGCCAAUCGGCUGCACGUGGAGGGCUCGCCGGGGCGGCUGGUCCCGCCCCUCCUCGCCUGAGCGCUGUGAGUGGCGGCGAGCACGGCCAAUGGCGGCGCAGCGCUGGAGACUGGCAGGCCAAUGGGAGCGCGGGUGAGGGGCGCUUGGUUAGGUUGCGCGAGUGCUGGCUGCGCGCGCGUUCUCCUCCGCGCCGCUGAGGGGUGAGCAGGCCACCGUCCGCCGCGGGGCCGGGGUCCGCCGCCAGGUGGGGAAGAUGCAGGGCAACAAGGGCUUCAACAUGGAGAAGCAGAACCACGCUCCGCGGAAGCAGCACCAGCACCAGCCGCACCCGCCACCGUCCAUCCCCGCCAACGGGCAGCAGGCCAACAGCCAGAGUGAGUCCCGGGCCCGCCGCGCCGGGCCGCCCGGCCCUGCUUUGGCAUUUAUCCCCCCAACUGUAGAGCAGCUGUGUACCUUAUUCCCCUCAGAUGAAGGCCUGACUAUUGACCUGAAGAACUUCCGGAAACCUGGUGAAAAGACAUUCACCCAGAGAAGCCGCCUGUUUGUGGGGAAUCUGCCCCCUGAUAUUACAGAGGAAGAGAUGAGAAAGUUAUUUGAGAAGUAUGGCAAGGCAGGUGAAGUCUUCAUCCACAAGGACAAAGGCUUUGGCUUUAUCAGGCUGGAAACUCGCACUCUGGCAGAGAUUGCAAAGGUGGAACUAGACAACAUGCCUCUACGUGGGAAGCAGCUAAGAGUGCGUUUUGCAUGCCACAGCGCAUCACUGACAGUCAGGAACCUGCCUCAGUUUGUGUCCAAUGAGCUCCUGGAGGAAGCCUUCUCAGUGUUUGGCCAGGUGGAAAGGGCUGUGGUUAUUGUGGAUGACAGAGGACGAUCCUCUGGGAAAGGCAUUGUGGAGUUCUCAGGGAAGCCUGCUGCUAGGAAAGCCCUGGAUAGAUGUAGUGAUGGGUCUUUCCUGCUAACUACAUUCCCUCGCCCUGUCACUGUGGAGCCCAUGGAUCAGUAUGAUGAUGAAGAGGGACUACCAGAGAAACUAGUCAUUAAAAACCAGCAAUAUCACAAGGAGCGUGAGCAGCCUCCUCGAUUUGCACAGCCUGGCAGCUUUGAAUACGAAUAUGCCAUGCGCUGGAAGGCUCUAAUAGAAAUGGAGAAGCAGCAGCAAGAGCAAGUAGACCGCAACAUCAAGGAAGCUCGAGAGAAGUUGGAAAUGGAAAUGGAAGCAGCUCGCCAUGAGCACCAAGUUAUGCUCAUGCGGCAAGAUUUAAUGAGACGCCAGGAAGAGCUGAGGAGAAUGGAGGAAUUGCAUAACCAAGAAGUACAAAAACGUAAACAGUUGGAACUCAGGCAAGAGGAAGAACGCAGACGCCGUGAGGAGGAAAUGAGAAGGCAGCAAGAAGAGAUGAUGAGACGCCAGCAGGAAGGCUUUAAAGGGAAUUUUGCUGAUGCGCCUGAAUUUUUGUCGUUUGAAAUGAGUGUCUCUUUUUCCAGAGAGAGCCACCAGACAUGCGGAUGGGACAGAUGGGUAUGGGAGGUACCAUUGGCAUGAACAAUAGAGGAGCCAUGGGUGGUACCAACGUCCCAGCUGCCGCACCUCCUGCAACUGGUCCUGGAGCUAUGAUACCUGAUGGAGCCAUGGGAAUGACUCCACCACCGCCUGCAGACCGCUUUGGCCAGAGUGGCGCGAUGGAGGGCCUUGGAGCGAUGGGAGGGAAUCCACCUGCCUUCAACAGAGGAAAUCCAGGGGCUGAUUUUGGCUCUAACAAGCGUCGCAGAUACUAACAGGAUUAAGCUACUCCCUGCACACGCCCCAAAAAGGAAAGGAAUCUUGGCAGGCCACGCAGGGCUCAACUCGAGGGGGGAGGGUGAUGAUAUUAAAAAUAGUUAAUUAGGGCCUGUUUUGGUAAAGCCACUCUAGGCCAAGGGGAGUGCAGUCUGACUGGUAAAGGUUUUAGAAGAAUUCAUGUGGUGCAUUCCUAUAAUUUCAAUGUGAAAAAUGGAUUCUGGGAGGCUGCCGUGGUUGUUGAGCCAGUAAAAUCCAGCAAGGACCCUCAUGCCUUGACCAUUCCAGGUUUCCUGUUUGCAGCUGGAGUCCUGAGACUAAACUAGAUAAAAAUUGCAAUGUCUUGGCAUUUUUUUAGUGUAGUGGACCUUGCUGAAGAGCACAGGGAAGUCUCUGGAGAAUUAGGGCAGCAUCUGGGUACUUUGCAGCUCCCAUGAUUCUGUAAAUUGAUAUAGCUCCAAAUGAUCCAUCAUGUAGUUAAUUGGGGGAGAUUUUAUGUUCGGGGUUAUUUUGGUUUUGUUCUGUUUAUUUUUCUUCUAACUUGUAGUUAUUCCUUUAUCUGGACCAUCUGUUUCUUUAAAGUAGUUGACUGUCAUGUGCAGUCGGAAUGGCUGUGGGAGGCUCUUCUUUGGAUGGAUUUUUUUUUUUAUAACGUGUUGUAUCGCUGUUUAUUUUUACUGGUAGUAAAGUACAAUCUAUUGGACAAAGAUACUGUAUCUCUUGCUGAAGAUUUAACUGCAACAAAUGUUUGUAUAAUCUUUACCUUGCCUGUCUUUUGUGUAGUACUACAAGAUUUUUCAUUUAGUGUAAACUGUUUGAACACAAGCUGUAAUUGUUCCACUAACAAGUUUGAGUUUGUCUGAGGAAUGUUACAGGAAUGCAUUAUUAAAGUGGAUUUUAAGCCUUUUUUA